Non-coding RNA from Aegilops tauschii subsp. strangulata, 2964 nucleotides. Lineage: Eukaryota; Viridiplantae; Streptophyta; Magnoliopsida; Poales; Poaceae. The record is from RefSeq and is a predicted model, not a curated record.
CCUCCUCGUCGCCCUCCUCUCUCUCUCUCUCUCUCUCUCUCUCUCUCGCUAACCCCUCUCUUUCCCCAUCGCCCUACCCACGCCGGCCGGUUCCGGCAAGCUCCGCCCGCCGCACGCCCCCGAGCUCCCCAAGAUCUGUGCCACUGCGCCGCCUCCUCCUCCCCUCCACUUCUCUCCUCCUCUGCCCCCCACGCAUGGUCGCUGUCGCUCGUCUCUGUAGGAGAGAGAGGAUGAGAGGAAGAGAGAGAAGGAAGGAGAGGAGGGAGAAAGAGAGAGGAAAGAGGAGAUGGAGGUGUGUGGGCUGAUGGGAGAAGGUCUCACGCCGGCGUCGGCCUACGUCUGCGAGGUCGGGCAAGAUCUGGCGGUUGGCGGCGGCUCGAUCCGCUCCUGGAUCGGGAGCUGCGAGGAGACUGGGGCUCUUGGGCGUGCCAUGCGCUGGGGGGUGGAGGAGGCUGGUUUGGUGGUUGCUCAGGUUUGGAGCAGCAAGGAUAUGGGCUGCACUUUCUUGGAGCAGCAAGCAAUGGAGCCAAGGUGAAUAAGCAACACAUACUCGAUCGCACUGCUCAAACCAUACAUGCUUGGAAAAAAUUAAUGUGUUCUUAAGAUCUCUAUAGGAUUAAAUGUAUUUGUUUGCAUUACUUUCAUUCUCUGAAAAGAAUGGCGAAUCCAAGAUUUAGCUCCAAAUUAUUGCAUUUUUUUUCAAAAUAGGAUGAUCUUUCCUUGCUGAAUAGACAACAUAUAGGAUAAGAACGUGUAUGAUGCUGAUUUUGGUGGUUUGGACAUGGAUUUGAGGGUGGAGAAUGGCCACAUAAAGGAGGCAUUCAGGACUGUAAGUAUGAAUUAAAUACAUACUACAUAUCUGAUGAAAUGCAGGCACAAGGUGUUCUCGUUAUAGUUGGGUUCCUCAAUCUUUCUAAUGUUUUGUUUUGAUGUUGCAUCGUUUUUUUAUUGCAAGCAUUGAUAUAUGCGCUCAUGCUAGGCAAUAUAAGGUAUUGUCCCAUCAUUUUUUUUAUUGUAGGCACUGAAAAAUAAAAGAAAUAAGAGACCACAACAUGUGUUUAACGUACGUUCUUCUCGGUCCUUCUGUGGUUUUAUUUGUCGCCUAGGUUGCUGCUUACUAUGAAAAUUAUGUUAACUCACCUACUUUAUUUCCUUUCAUCAGCAUCUAUUUUGCUGCUUACAUUUUCUGCCUUUUUUCUGCAACGUCCAGGAUCUCCUAGGUUGGUGGAUCUGCGACGUUCCGGUUCCUGCUGUUGGUCAGCCGGUUCUUUGGUCGAGAGAUGGGUUAACUUGUUGCCGGCGGUGUCGUCCCACUGGUAGGGUUCCAGCAAGAUGCUCAAGAAAUUUCUCAUGAAAGUGGAUGAGUAACGUCAUGGCCAGGAUCUUCAAAGGGCCAAUGUUGCAUAGCCUUUACCCACUCUGCACUGCCGUAACAUCUCAAGCGACUACUCCCGGUACAUCUUGUGUUGAUCACGAGCAACACCAAGAGAGAUGUCUGGACUAUUUGCAUGCAGAUUACCUCCAGGUGAUUGAUUAUGAUGCGUAUGGUCUUUUCCAGCCAUGGCAGAUGCAGGCCUUCUCAAGCUGAUGAAAUUGGUUCCUUCCAUUUGUUAGCUGGACAGCUAUAGCUGCACAAUGCAAGGGUGAGACUACCAACCGGUGUAGGACAAGGUAUGCACAAGGCGUUGCGGGAAGAGGUAGUCAAAGGAGAUAGAUAUGUAGACGGCACAAUGUAGGCCAAGCGCUAGGGAUGAGGAUAUGGCGUGGCGUGAAGAGCUCGCGGCGAGGAUUGCUGUGUCCAACCUGCCGCCAAGAGGAAAUAGUCUGUGUGGUGCUUGUAAAUAGAGAGUAUUCUGGUAGAAAGGUACAUGAAAGAAUAGGGAAACUUCUGUCAUUUUCUUUGGUCUCUGAAAAAUAAAUGGUGAUAUGGGCUGAUGCAUUGCUAAAUUACAAGAUACAAACUCACUUCUCUUUUUUGAUUUUUGGUUUACUUCAUUGUGCUACAAUGGCUCUCCUAGGAAUGUUCUUCCAUGCUUUGAUGUGCACAAUCCAUAAAGUGCAUGCAUCCAGAAACCAAUUAGGAUUUUGUGUGUGUUAUCUUCUCAUAAGUCUUGUGCUCGUCCAAUAAGAAUAAGGUUUGGUGGUAUUGCUUUUGUCUGUCACCCGGUAGAUUUCAGACUUCAAGCUAGCUGCCGUUAUUUCAGGUUAUAUGUGCAAAUCCUUGGUGUGACAUGAUUGGUAACUGACCAUAAAUACGUUGCAAUCUGACAUGUCUAAUUCUUGAUUUAUGUGGUACCAUGGUCUAAAAAUUGGUCCUAAAGAUACAUGAUGUUUUUGUACAAAGUUGAGACAGUUAUUUUGGAACGGAGGGAGUAUUAGAUUAUUUUGUUCCUUUUUAAUUUGGUUCUAAAGAUAUAAUUUCAGAGUGAUCAUUUUGCAUCAGCCAAGCUUGCCGUUGUUACACAUAAUUGUUCUGUUGUCCUCAAUUCACUUUCUCGAUUUUUUAAUGCUACAAGCAUUAUUGUUCCAGUUUUUUUUUUGUUAUUGAUCAUGCCAUUUUUCUUUCUGCCUUUGUAGCUGAAAGAUUAGUGAGGCAGACUAAAUUCUGGACAUGUUCCAUGUGAGAGAAAUAGCAUGUUGAUUUUAUCUUGAAAAUAAUCAUAGCUAAGGGACGAGGUUCGUAACUGAGGGUCAUGUGCAGAGCUGGAGGAAGAAGUUGCGAGGCUUGGAACUCUCCUUGUGAAGGGCUCAGGGACAGCAUUGAGGACAAUGCCUCUUUAGUUGUAAUUGUGAUACUCCUGAUGUGCAAGUAAACACUCCUGUGAUACUCCUUAUGCUAAAAUGUUGGUUGUUAGUACAGAGGUGGUGACAUUAUUUGAUUCUCUGGUAUUGAUUUCAUGAUUUGUGGUUAAUACAUGAUGUAAUACAAUCCACAUUGCAUUAUAUUUCCAGUUACAUCUCCUA